RNAcentral lists this transfer RNA (84 nucleotides) under Candidatus Wildermuthbacteria bacterium. Its description in RNAcentral is "tRNA-Leu". It matches the Rfam family "tRNA". From Rfam's summary of the family: Transfer RNA (tRNA) molecules are approximately 80 nucleotides in length. Their secondary structure includes four short double-helical elements and three loops (D, anti-codon, and T loops). Lineage: Bacteria; Candidatus Wildermuthiibacteriota. The record is from RNAcentral.
GCGCGGGUGUCGUAAUGGUAGCCGAGCACGCUUGAGGUGCGUGUGCCGAAAGGCGUGGAGGUUCGAAUCCUCUCCCGCGCACCA